GAUGAACGCUGGCGGCGUGCCUAAUACAUGCAAGUCGAGCGAACAGACGAGGAGCUUGCUCCUCUGACGUUAGCGGCGGACGGGUGAGUAACACGUGGAUAACCUACCUAUAAGACUGGGAUAACUUCGGGAAACCGGAGCUAAUACCGGAUAAUAUAUUGAACCGCAUGGUUCAAUAGUGAAAGACGGUUUUGCUGUCACUUAUAGAUGGAUCCGCGCCGCAUUAGCUAGUUGGUAAGGUAACGGCUUACCAAGGCAACGAUGCGUAGCCGACCUGAGAGGGUGAUCGGCCACACUGGAACUGAGACACGGUCCAGACUCCCACGGGAGGCAGCAGUAGGGAAUCUUGCGCAAUGGGCGAAAGCCUGACGGAGGAACGCCGCGGGAGUGAUGAAGGUCUUCGGAUCGUAAAACUCUGUUAUUAGGGAAGAACAAAUGUGUAAGUAACUAUGCACGUCUUGACGGUACCUAAUCAGAAAGCCACGGCUAACUACGUG
RNAcentral lists this ribosomal RNA (497 nucleotides) under uncultured bacterium. RNAcentral describes it as "partial 16S ribosomal RNA". It matches the Rfam family "Bacterial small subunit ribosomal RNA", at positions 28 to 507 of the family's 1533-position model. The record is from RNAcentral.